UACGUAGGGUGCAAGCGUUAAUCGGAAUUACUGGGCGUAAAGCGUGCGCAGGCGGUUUUGUAAGUCUGACGUGAAAUCCCCGGGCUCAACCUGGGAAUUGCGUUGGAGACUGGAAGGCUGGAGUCUGGCAGAGGGGGGUAGAAUUCCACGUGUAGCAGUGAAAUGCGUAGAGAUGUGGAGGAACACCGAUGGCGAAGGCAGCCCCCUGGGUCAAGACUGACGCUCAUGCACGAAAGCGUGGGGAGCAAACAGG
This 253-nucleotide ribosomal RNA is filed under the name uncultured bacterium. RNAcentral describes it as "partial 16S ribosomal RNA". It matches the Rfam family "Bacterial small subunit ribosomal RNA", at positions 524 to 776 of the family's 1533-position model. The record is from RNAcentral.